RNAcentral lists this ribosomal RNA (410 nucleotides) under uncultured microorganism. RNAcentral describes it as "bacterial SSU rRNA". It matches the Rfam family "Bacterial small subunit ribosomal RNA", at positions 509 to 917 of the family's 1533-position model. The record is from RNAcentral.
CAGCCGCCGCGGUAAUACGUAGGGUGCGAGCGUUAAUCGGAUUUACUGGGCGUAAAGCGUGCGCAGGCGGCCCGUUAAGACAGGUGUGAAAUCCCUGGGCUCAACCUAGGAAUUGCGCUUGUGACUGGCGGGCUCGAGUACGGUAGAGGGGGGUGGAAUUCCUGGUGUAGCAGUGAAAUGCGUAGAGAUCAGGAGGAACACCGAUGGCGAAGGCAGCCCCCUGGGCCUGUACUGACGCUCAUGCACGAAAGCGUGGGGAGCAAACAGGAUUAGAUACCCUGGUAGUCCACGCCCUAAACGAUGGGUACUAGCCGUUUGUUGCGCGAUAGCGCUGAGUGGCGAAGCUAACGCGUGAAGUACCCCGCCUGGGGAGUACGGCCGCAAGGUUGAAACUUAAAGGAAUUGGCGGG